GAUGAACGCUGGCGGCGUGCUUAACACAUGCAAGUCGAACGAAGCAUUUAGAGCAGAUUACUUCGGUUUGAAGUUCUUUAUGACUGAGUGGCGGACGGGUGAGUAACGCGUGGGUAACCUGCCUUGUACUGGGGGAUAGCAGCUGGAAACGGCUGGUAAUACCGCAUAAGCGCACAAUGUUGCAUGACAUGGUGUGAAAAACUCCGGUGGUAUAAGAUGGACCCGCGUCUGAUUAGCUAGUUGGUGAGAUAACAGCCCACCAAGGCGACGAUCAGUAGCCGACCUGAGAGGGUGACCGGCCACAUUGGGACUGAGACACGGCCCAGACUCCUACGGGAGGCAGCAGUGGGGAAUAUUGCACAAUGGAGGAAACUCCGAUGCAGCGACGCCGCGUGAGUGAAGAAGUAAUUCGUUAUGUAAAGCUCUAUCAGCAGGGAAGAUAGUGACGGUACCUGACUAAGAAGCUCCGGCUAAAUACGUG
This 481-nucleotide ribosomal RNA is filed under the name uncultured bacterium. Its description in RNAcentral is "partial 16S ribosomal RNA". It matches the Rfam family "Bacterial small subunit ribosomal RNA", at positions 28 to 507 of the family's 1533-position model. The record is from RNAcentral.